Hordeum vulgare subsp. vulgare (domesticated barley) is the source of this 136-nucleotide non-coding RNA. Lineage: Eukaryota; Viridiplantae; Streptophyta; Magnoliopsida; Poales; Poaceae. The record is from Rfam.
CUGAUACUCCCUCAGUCCCAAAAUUCUUGUCUUAUAUUUGUUUAGAUAUGAAUGUAUCUAGUUAAGUUUUAGUAUUUUCAUAUAUCCAUUUUUAGACAAAGCUAAAACAAAAAAUUUGAGACGGAGGGAGUAUUUG